UUAGGCUAGGUCCAUUGCUCAUGUACAGUCUGUUAACAGCUGGGAGGGAAGUAGCUGAUGUCCCCAUGAGUGAUUUAUAGAAAUCCUUGAUCUCCUUCUUCAGGUCAUCUGGAUCAGUAAUCUUCAAACCCCCAUCUGUGAUCAGUUAAGUAAUCUUCUUAUAUUGGUUUCUCUCCUUCAUUACAGCAGAAAAAUAUUUGUUAUUUGAGUCCCCAAGUUGAAUUCAUCUGGCUCUAGAUUUUUGUUGUAAUACUGACACUUCAAUCAAUGACCAUUUUUCUAAUUGCAGCAUCAGCUCUUUUUCUCUAAGCUGUAAGGCAUCAGUAUAGGACAGAUUCAUCUGGUGUUGGAUAUCUUCUAGUUCCUUUCUGCUAGUCUCAAUCAUCUGUGUAAUAUUCUUAAAAUCUCUAGUAUUUAGAGACUUUAAGGCUGGUUUAAGUGACUUGAGAUUGUUCCACACCCCUU
Molecule: long non-coding RNA, 465 nt
Filed under: Nicotiana benthamiana
Lineage: Eukaryota; Viridiplantae; Streptophyta; Magnoliopsida; Solanales; Solanaceae
Description: long non-coding RNA (NBEN_LNC019631)
Source: RNAcentral